RNAcentral lists this long non-coding RNA (364 nucleotides) under Bos taurus (domestic cattle). RNAcentral describes it as "long non-coding RNA NONBTAT023053". The record is from RNAcentral. Lineage: Eukaryota; Metazoa; Chordata; Mammalia; Artiodactyla; Bovidae.
CUAUAAAUCAGAAUCACAAGAAUUGGCUGACUCUGAUCACACAGUUAGAAUACAAUGAUUUAAUCCUCUAUUUCAGUUCUAUGAACGCUACAAUCUAUUUUCAUAGGUAAAAGGUGAUUAAAAUAUGAAAGAAGAUUGCAGACUAGAGAACAGAGAGAGGGAGAAAACUCUCCACAGGGUACAAGUUCACAGAAACAACUGUAAGUAUUUGAAUAUUUUGAUUUCUAAAGAUAUACUGCAAAUAAGUAACACUUACCUAAUGUAAUUAAUCAAAAGGAAAGGAAUUUUCUUUAAAUACUAUCAAGGUGUAAGAGAUGUAAAUAAAUGUCACUGUCCCAGACAUGCUCCCUCGUUAAACAAAUGC